GACGAACGCUGGCGGCGUGCUUAACACAUGCAAGUCGAACGGACAGGCCCGGCGCUUGGGAGUUGCGCGAGUGGCGAAGGCGGGAGUAUCACGUGUGUAACCUGCCCUUGACUUUGGGAUAACUUCAGGAGACUGGGGAUAUUACCGGAUAUGAUCUCUUGCAGCCUGGUGGGGGUUGGAAAGAUUCGGCGGUACGGGAUGGACUCGCGGAUUCUCGGCUUGUUGGUGGGGUAGUUGCUUACCAACGCUGUGACGGGUAGCCGGCCUGGGAGGGUGAUCGGCCACCUGGGGCCUGAGGUACGCCCCAGACUCCUACCGGAGGCAGCAGUCGGGAAGAUUACACAAUGGGCGGAAGUCUGAUGCAGACACCCCCGGUGCGUGAUGACGGCCUCUGCGUGAUGAACAGCUUUGGCCUUUUACGAAGCGUUAGUGACGGUAAUGGGUAAAGAAGCAACGGCUAACUACGUG
RNAcentral lists this ribosomal RNA (468 nucleotides) under uncultured bacterium. Its description in RNAcentral is "partial 16S ribosomal RNA". It matches the Rfam family "Bacterial small subunit ribosomal RNA", at positions 28 to 507 of the family's 1533-position model. The record is from RNAcentral.